GUUAGAGUUGGCCCCUACACUUUACGUAACAAAACUUCCAAAUUAUAUGUAACCCGAUCGUUUUCGAUUCGCAUAACUAAUUGUAACGGGGUUUUUCAAAUGUGUACAUCGUUAUAUCGUUCAAAAAUUUAAAACUGGUUUAUCAACGGGCGACCCGUGAUCCCGUCCUACACACACACUAACCGAAUCGAUAGAAACGUAUU
This is a non-coding RNA of Cinara cedri, 203 nucleotides long. NCBI's taxonomy places the organism in Eukaryota, Metazoa, Arthropoda, Insecta, Hemiptera, Aphididae. The record is from the annotation of a GenBank genome assembly.